GACGAACGCUGGCGGCGUGCCUAAUACAUGCAAGUCGAACGCUGAAGGAGGAGCUUGCUUCUCUGGAUGAGUUGCGAACGGGUGAGUAACGCGUAGGUAACCUGCCUGGUAGCGGGGGAUAACUAUUGGAAACGAUAGCUAAUACCGCAUAAGAGUAGAUGUUGCAUGACAUUUACUUAAAAGGUGCAAUUGCAUCACUACCAGAUGGACCUGCGUUGUAUUAGCUAGUUGGUGAGGUAACGGCUCAACAAGGCAACGAUACAUAGCCGACCUGAGAGGGUGAACGGCCACACUGGGACCGAGAAACGGCCCAGACUCCUACGGGAGGGAGCAGUAGGGAAUCUUCGGCAAUGGACGGAAGUCUGACCGAGCAACGCCGCGUGAGUGAAGAAGGUUUUCGGAUCGUAAAGCUCUGUUGUAAGAGAAGAACGAGUGUGAGAGUGGAAAGUUCACACUGUGACGGUAUCUUACCAGAAAGGGACGGCUAACUACGUG
This 495-nucleotide ribosomal RNA is filed under the name uncultured bacterium. RNAcentral describes it as "partial 16S ribosomal RNA". It matches the Rfam family "Bacterial small subunit ribosomal RNA", at positions 28 to 507 of the family's 1533-position model. The record is from RNAcentral.